GAAAUGCGAUAAGUAAUGUGAAUUGCAGAAUUCAGUGAAUCAUCGAAUCUUUGAACGCACCUUGCGCUCCUUGGUAUUCCUUGGAGCAUGCCUGUUUGAGUAUCAUGAAAUCUUCAAAGUAAAUCUUUUGUUAACUCAAUUGGUUUCUACUUUGGUAUUGGAGGUCUUUGCAGCUUCACACCUGCUCCUCUUUGUUCAUUAGCUGGAUCUCAGUGUUAUGCUUGGUUCCACUCGGCGUGAUAAGUUAUCUAUCGCUGAGGACACUGUAAAAGGUGGCCAAGGUAAAUGCAGAUGAACCGCUUCUAAUAGUCCAUUUACUUGUACAAUACUUUUAUGAUCUGAUCUCAAAUCAGGUAGGACUACCCGCUGAACUUAAGC
This 378-nucleotide unclassified non-coding RNA is filed under the name plant metagenome. RNAcentral describes it as "partial contains 5.8S ribosomal RNA, internal transcribed spacer 2, and large subunit ribosomal RNA". The stretch from base 1 to 105 matches the Rfam family "5.8S ribosomal RNA", at positions 50 to 154 of the family's 154-position model. The record is from RNAcentral.